This 246-nucleotide ribosomal RNA is filed under the name Triticum aestivum (bread wheat). RNAcentral describes it as "partial small subunit ribosomal RNA". The record is from RNAcentral. Lineage: Eukaryota; Viridiplantae; Streptophyta; Magnoliopsida; Poales; Poaceae.
AUGCGUGACAAACACAUUGACAUAGUUGCCAUUCAGGAAACCAUGCGAACCGAGUUUUCCCUGGCGGAGCUCGAGCGGUUGAGUUCGCACCUGUUCUCGUGGCAUUGGCACCCUUCUAGUGGGAUUGCCGGCCACUCCAGUGGCAUCCUUUUAGGCGUAAAUGAUGCCACCUUCGAGGAUGGUAGCAUGGACCGGGGCGAAUUCUUCGUCAGCAUGGAACUUCUCGAGCAUGUGAUACGAUCUUGA